GAUGAACGCUGGCGGCGUGCUUAACACAUGCAAGUCGAACGAAGCACUCUUUUAGAUUUCCUUCGGGGAAGAAGAAAUUGUGACUGAGUGGCGGACGGGUGAGUAACGCGUGGGUAACCUGCCUUGCACUGGGGGAUAACACUUAGAAAUAGGUGCUAAUACCGCAUAAGCGCACGGUCCUGCAUGGGACAGUGUGAAAAACUCCGGUGGUGCAAGAUGGACCCGCGUCUGAUUAGCUGGUUGGCGGGGUAAAGGCCCACCAAGGCGACGAUCAGUAGCCGGCCUGAGAGGGUGGACGGCCACAUUGGGACUGAGACACGGCCCAAACUCCUACGGGAGGCAGCAGUGGGGGAUAUUGGACAAUGGGGGGAACCCUGAUCCAGCGACGCCGCGUGAGUGAAGAAGUAUUUCGGUAUGUAAAGCUCUGUCAGCAGGGAAGAAAGCAAUGACGGUACCUGACCAAGAAGCCCCGGCUAACUACGUGCCAGCAGCCGCGGUAAUACGUAGGGGGCAAGCGUUAUCCGGAAUUACUGGGUGUAAAGGGAGCGUAGACGGCUGUGCAAGUCUGGAGUGAAAGGCGGNGGCCCAACCCCCGGACUGCUCUGGAAACUGUAUGGCUGGAGUGCAGGAGAGGUAAGCGGAAUUCCUAGUGUNGCGGUGAAAUGCGUAGAUAUUAGGAGGAACACCAGUGGCGAAGGCGGC
Molecule: ribosomal RNA, 702 nt
Filed under: uncultured bacterium
Lineage: Bacteria
Description: bacterial SSU rRNA
Rfam family: Bacterial small subunit ribosomal RNA
Source: RNAcentral